UUACGAUUGUUACCAACUGGGAUGAUAUGGAAAAAAUCUGGCACCACACUUUUUACAAUGAAUUAAGAGUUGCUCCAGAAGAACACCCAGUCUUAUUAACUGAAGCUCCAAUGAAUCCUAAAUCUAAUAGAGAAAAGAUGACUCAAAUUAUGUUUGAACUUUUAAUGUUCCUGCUUUCUACGUUUCUAUUCAAGCCGUUUUAUCCUUGUACUCUUCUGGUAGAACACCGGUAUUGUUUUGGAUUCUGGUGAUGGUGUUACUCACGUUGUUCCAAUUUAUGCUGGUUUCUCCUUACCAUGGUAUUUUAAGAAUUGACUUGGCUGGUAGAGAUUUAACUGAUUACUUGAUGAAAAUCUUAUCUGAGGUUUCUCCACCACUGCUGAACGUGAAAUUGUUCGUGAUAUUAAAGAAUUAUGUUAUUUGCUUUGGUUUCGAACAAGAAAUGCAAACUUCUUCUCAAUCUUCUGCCAUUGAAAAAUCUUAUGAAUUACCUGAUGGUCAAGUUAUUACCAUUGGUAAUGAAAGAUUGAAGCCUUGUUCAGACCUGCUGACCUUGGUUUGGAAGCUCAUGGUUUGAAAACUACUUAUAACUCCAUCAUGAAGUGUGAUGUUGAUGUUCGUAAGGAAUUAUACGGUAACAUUGUUAUGUCUGGUGGUACUACCAUGUUCCCAGGUAUUGCUGAACGUAUGCAAAAGGAAAUUACCUCUUUGGCCCCAUCCUCAAUGAAGGUUAAGAUUAUUGCUC
Molecule: ribosomal RNA, 745 nt
Filed under: Hyphopichia burtonii
Lineage: Eukaryota; Fungi; Ascomycota; Pichiomycetes; Serinales; Debaryomycetaceae
Description: partial large subunit ribosomal RNA
Source: RNAcentral